RNAcentral lists this ribosomal RNA (346 nucleotides) under uncultured bacterium. Its description in RNAcentral is "bacterial SSU rRNA". It matches the Rfam family "Bacterial small subunit ribosomal RNA", at positions 8 to 350 of the family's 1533-position model. The record is from RNAcentral.
AGAGUUUGAUCAUGGCUCAGAUUGAACGCUGGCGGCAUGCUUUACACAUGCAAGUCGAACGGCAGCACAGGGAGCUUGCUCCCGGGUGGCGAGUGGCGCACGGGUGAGUAAUACAUCGGAACGUGUCCUGUUGUGGGGGAUAACUGCUCGAAAGGGUGGCUAAUACCGCAUGAGACCUGAGGGUGAAAGCGGGGAUCGCAAGACCUCGCGCAAUUGGAGCGGCCGAUGCCCGAUUAGCUAGUUGGUGAGGUAAAGGCUCACCAAGGCGACGAUCGGUAGCUGGUCUGAGAGGACGACCAGCCACACCUGGGGACUGAGACACGGCCCCAGACUCCUACGGGAGGCA